Molecule: ribosomal RNA, 253 nt
Filed under: uncultured bacterium
Lineage: Bacteria
Description: partial 16S ribosomal RNA
Rfam family: Bacterial small subunit ribosomal RNA
Source: RNAcentral
UACGUAGGGGGCGAGCGUUGUCCGGAUUUACUGGGCGUAAAGGGCGUGCAGGCGGUCUGCUAAGUCUAGGGUGAAAGCUCCCGGCUCAACUGGGAGAGGUCCUUGGAUACUGACAGACUUGAGGGAGGCAGAGGAGAAUGGAAUUCCCGGUGUAGUGGUGAUAUGCGUAGAUAUCGGGAGGAACACCAGUGGCGAAGGCGGUUCUCUGGGCCUUACCUGACGCUGAGACGCGAAAGCGUGGGGAGCGAACCGG